This 106-nucleotide microRNA precursor is filed under the name Marmota monax (woodchuck). The record is from RNAcentral. Lineage: Eukaryota; Metazoa; Chordata; Mammalia; Rodentia; Sciuridae.
AUAGAAAUCACAUGGGGUUCUUAUUAAAAUGCAGAGUUUGCUAUAGUAAGUCUGAGGGAGGGGCCUGAAAUUCUGCAUUUCGAACAAGCUCCUAGGGGAAGCCCAG